RNAcentral lists this ribosomal RNA (377 nucleotides) under uncultured bacterium. RNAcentral describes it as "bacterial SSU rRNA". It matches the Rfam family "Bacterial small subunit ribosomal RNA", at positions 28 to 433 of the family's 1533-position model. The record is from RNAcentral.
GAUGAACGCUGGCGGCGUGCUUAACACAUGCAAGUCGAACGGUCCCUUUCGGGGGAUAGUGGCGGGCGGGUGAGUAACACGUGAGGAUCUGCCCAUAGGACGGGGAUAACAGUGGGAAACUGCUGCUAAUACCGGAUGAGCCGAGAGGUAAAACUUUUUAAGGCCUAUGGAGGAGCUCGCGGCUGAUUAGCUAGUUGGUGGGGUAAGGCCUAUCAAGGCAUUGAUCAGUAGCUGGUCUGAGAGGAUGAUCAGCCACACUGGGACUGAGACACGGCCCAGACUCCUACGGGAGGCAGCAGUGGGAAUUUUCCGCAAUGGGCGAAAGCCUGACGGAGCAAGACCGCGUGGGGGAGGAAGGUUUUUGGAUCGUAAACCCC